Esox lucius (northern pike) is the source of this 1595-nucleotide long non-coding RNA. Lineage: Eukaryota; Metazoa; Chordata; Actinopteri; Esociformes; Esocidae. The record is from Ensembl.
CAGUACAGAAAUGGUUCCCCUGAUUAUUAAAGUUCUGGUGGCGACAGCAGCUGCAGGAAGUUCUAUGUUCUGCAAACUCACUCAGGAGAAGGAAGAUCAACUGUGUUUUGGGACUUUGGGAGAAUCUUUGUCCUUCCUUCUUGUUGCAAACCAAGAUAAAGAAAUAUUAACAUUGAAGAAAGCCCCGACGUCAAAGGCAGUGUUGUCUCACGUCUGUUUGCCUCAUGGAGAGACCAUGGUCAACUGUUCCUCAGAGGGGGACAGUCUUCAGUUCAGCUGGACCCUAAACAGUCAGAUUCUUACCAGGCCAUUAGCCUCUGUUCACAACCACAGCAGUGUAAUCACCCAGAAGACUGAUGUGACAGGAGCCCUGACCUGUAUGGUUCAGAAUGAAGUUAGUAGCAGCAGAUCCACUAUGACUCUCCCAGCUUGUCCAGCUUUGUUUUGCGUGAAGAAGUAACCAGAAGAUCAAUGAAGCAUUUGGAAUUCAAACUGUAUUUUUUAAAUCAUGCUGUUUUAAAAUAAAAUUUUCCAUAGAUUAUGCUUCAUAUCUGAUGUACAGAAUGCAGUUUCUCUAUGAAUUACAAUAGAGUUUUCAAUUUGAUGUAUGCCUACAUACAGUACGUACUUUUAAUUGACUGGAAAAUGUGUACUAAUGUCAGUGAGUUAAAAAUAUAUAUAAGUGGGUCAACAGAUCCACAGGACAUUAGAAGACGUUUUGACUGUGUAUUCGGGUUACAAUGAAGUUGUUAGCAGAAGUGCUUAUUUGUCUAACAAUUAAUUAUGACCUCGACUGAUAGCAGAGAAACACAUAGACAGGAAUCAUAUUUUCAUAGGAUUUAAAGACACUGGGGGUUAACCCCAAACCUGGUGACCUUCUACAUGAAGAUGUUUUUUACAGAAAAAUGUCAUUGUGGAACAAAUGCUAAUUAAUAUUAAAAUAUUUUUGCUCAGGUGUCAUUAGAAUGUAAAAUGUUUAAGACAAACAACUUCACACAACAGCUUUACCCAACUGCAUUACAUAAUGUUUCCAGUCUUUUGUUGCCUCUGUGGCAACUUUUUUGAAACGUGCUGAGGUCGGAAGCCUGACUGAAAUUUGUCUAAAAGACCGCUUGAGUUUACAACAUUGCUUAGCUGAUUGGAGAAAACCUUCUCAAUGAUCUUGGCUAUAAAAGGAAGAUUUGAUGCAGGUCAAUAGUUGUUCAGUAUAGAUGUAACCAGUGUUCUCUUUUUAAUAGAGGCUUAAUGCCAGCUGUUUAUAGAGACAUUUGGACAAUGCCUGAUUGCAGAGAGUCGUUAGCUACAGAUCAAUUGUUAUACAGUUAAAAGUAGUUUUAAAAAAGUCAGAGUGUCGAGACAAGAUGUGGGUGUUUUAAGAUGUCAAACUGUUUCUUCUAAAGCUUUUUGAUCGAUUGUAUUAAAUUGCGACAUAAUAACCUAACUAUUUCAUGGAGGUCGUAGUGACAGUACAGUGUCAUUGUUUGACUGUGUAGUUCUGAUGGUCAGUCUAAUACUUUUUAUAUUUUCACCAAGAAAAAAGAAAAUUCAUUAGAUUUUUCCAUGGACAAAAGUUCUGAUGCUAUCUGCUUUAGGGG